GGGGGUGAACAGGGUUCGACGGGAAUGAUAGAUGUAAUGACAACAGGUCGGAGUUGGUCGAUGGCUCCGAAAAAAUCGACCGAAAAAUAAAUAACGAUAACAUCGUUUCAAUGCGGAACUUUAAACCUUCUACAGGUUUUGGAGUAAUGCCGAUGGCUGCUUAAUGCAGCUUCGUUUUACCUUAGACACCUGCUAUGAGGAUAAAACGACAAGAGCAGGUUAGUUUUAAACGGCUUGUACCGUCAGUUUGAAAUAAAAUUAAAACGGUGCUGGUUUAUAACGUAAUCCCGUUCGGAGAUGGCGUUGUAAAUAAGAUAAAUAAUUCCGAACUAAGCCUGUAGCGGUCUUACUGAAACAUUUUCGGACGCGGGUUCAACUCCCGCCACUUCCAUAA
RNAcentral lists this transfer-messenger RNA (394 nucleotides) under Endomicrobium sp. It matches the Rfam family "transfer-messenger RNA". From Rfam's summary of the family: Bacterial tmRNA, also known as 10Sa RNA or SsrA, is named for its dual tRNA and mRNA-like properties. Its role is to liberate the mRNA from a stalled ribosome. Lineage: Bacteria; Pseudomonadati; Elusimicrobiota; Endomicrobiia; Endomicrobiales; Endomicrobiaceae. The record is from RNAcentral.